GUGGCCCCAAGUCAGGCGAGGCCCACCCGCCGAAGUUUAAGCAUAUCAAUAA
Molecule: ribosomal RNA, 52 nt
Filed under: Renealmia alpinia
Lineage: Eukaryota; Viridiplantae; Streptophyta; Magnoliopsida; Zingiberales; Zingiberaceae
Description: partial 26S ribosomal RNA
Source: RNAcentral